AACGCGAAGAACCUUACCCAGACUUGACAUCCCUGGAAUCCUGUAGAGAUAUGGGAGUGCUCGCAAGAGAGCCGGGAGACAGGUGCUGCAUGGCUGUCGUCAGCUCGUGUCGUGAGAUGUUGGGUUAAGUCCCGCAACGAGCGCAACCCUCGCCUUUAGUUGCCAGCAUUCAGUUGGGCACUCUAGAGGGACUGCCGGUGUCAAGCCGGAGGAAGGUGGGGAUGACGUCAAGUCCUCAUGGCCUUUAUGUCUGGGGCUACACACGUGCUACAAUGGCCGGUACAAAGAGUUGCAACGGCGCGAGCCCGAGCCAAUCUCAGAAAACCGGUCCCAGUUCGGAUCGAAGUCUGCAACUCGACUUCGUGAAGUCGGAAUCGCUAGUAAUCGCGGAUCAGAACGCCGCGGUGAAUACGUUCCCGGGCCUUGUACACACCGACUGUAC
This 442-nucleotide ribosomal RNA is filed under the name uncultured bacterium. RNAcentral describes it as "bacterial SSU rRNA". It matches the Rfam family "Bacterial small subunit ribosomal RNA", at positions 958 to 1399 of the family's 1533-position model. The record is from RNAcentral.